This 501-nucleotide ribosomal RNA is filed under the name uncultured bacterium. RNAcentral's name for it is "partial 16S ribosomal RNA". It matches the Rfam family "Bacterial small subunit ribosomal RNA", at positions 30 to 523 of the family's 1533-position model. The record is from RNAcentral.
AUUGAACGCUGGCGGCAGGCUUAACACAUGCAAGUCGAGCGGGGGAAGGUAGCUUGCUACCGGACCUAGCGGCGGACGGGUGAGUAAUGCUUAGGAAUCUGCCUAUUAGUGGGGGACAACAUCUCGAAAGGGAUGCUAAUACCGCAUACGUCCUAUGGGAGAAAGCAGGGGAUCUUCGGACCUUGCGCUAAUAGAUGAGCCUAAGUCGGAUUAGCUAGCUGGUGGGGUAAAGGCCUACCAAGGCGACGAUCUGUAGCGGGUCUGAGAGGAUGAUCCGCCACACUGGGACUGAGACACGGCCCAGACUCCGACGGGAGGCAGGAGUGGGGAAGAUUGGACAAGGGGGGGAACCCUGAUCCAGCCAUGCCGCGUGUGUGAAGAAGGCCUUAUGGUUGUAAAGCACUUUAAGCGAGGAGGAGGCUACUUUAGUUAAUACCUAGAGAUAGUGGACGUUACUCGCAGAAUAAGCACCGGCUAACUCUGUGCCAGCAGCCGCCGUAA